This is a non-coding RNA of Triticum urartu, 537 nucleotides long. The record is from RefSeq and is a predicted model, not a curated record. Lineage: Eukaryota; Viridiplantae; Streptophyta; Magnoliopsida; Poales; Poaceae.
GCGCCGGCGCCAGCGGCCCUCCCGUCCCUCUGCCCGUCAUAGCGCUAAGGGGAGGGAUGUUCAUAGGUACGAUCAACAUAUAUCAUUCUGUGUUGGAUUGGUUUGUAUGCUGACAGUAGUACAUAUUUUGUUCGAGUGAACAGGGCCAAAGAGAUCCUGCAUCUCUACAUAGGGCAGCCACGGUUCUGAUCAACUUCCAGUCGGAGGAUGGAGAGUUCCCUCAGCAAGACAUUAUUGGAGUUGCCAACCGCAACCUUAUGCUCACUUACGCCCAAUACAGGAACAUCUUCCCUAUCUGGGCUCUUGGAGAGUACUACCGUAGAAUGGUCCUGACAACAUAAAGGGAGAAUCUGCGGUGUAUAUGUAGCCGUUGAGAGUUACACACUGUUAGAUGAUAAUUUGUGCACAUAAUUUUCCACAUCUCCAUGGAGCAUGGAGUGCCUAUUCCCAAAAAUACAUGAUACCAUUACCAACAUAUCUACAAACUUGUUAUAUUUAUUUCAGAUGAUUUAGUUAUUACAAUAUUCGUUGGGUUCC